Molecule: long non-coding RNA, 668 nt
Organism: Pezoporus flaviventris
Lineage: Eukaryota; Metazoa; Chordata; Aves; Psittaciformes; Psittacidae
Exons: 5
Source: RefSeq, a predicted model, not a curated record
CAGUUCUGUGAUGUUUCUUAUUGCAGGACAACAUUUUCAAGGUUCAUUGAUGAAGCAGAUGAAGACAUUAAUUUCUAACUUUCGGACACCUGCAUUAAAAGUAAAAAUAAUUUUGCAGUGUCAUCCAAGUUCCCAGCUGUCCAUUCUACAAAAUCAGGCAUAAAAUAGUCCCUGGAGGGACCCAAGAUCUGCAGAGCAGAACUCAGUGCCUCUCACCUUGCUGCUGGCUGCCUAAAGAUGAUACCUCUUCUCCUGUUCAUUUUCUGGCUCAACAAAGGGUGUGAAGACCACUACCUUCAGUGCAGAGGAAGAAGUAGAACGGCACAGCCAGGAAGGAGGCAGGCAGACACACAUAGGACUGUUUCCUUUAAUUGAAGAGGUGUUCUGGGGCACUGGCGCCCCAACAACACGAAUGGACUCCUAACACUUCGGUCAGGCUUACACCCGGACGCAAGGGCAGCACAAAGCCGACCUUCACCACGGCCGACACAAAAUAAUAUGAGAAAGCACCAAGAGCUCUGACAGUUCAUGGAGAUUACUGACUAAGCCAAGGGGGAAUACCACGGCUGCGAAGAUGGAGUCUUUCACAGAUUCUGCAAUGGCUUUACUCAAGAAAAUAAAGAAACACUUAUGCCCACAGAACUCUUGUGAAAUAAGUAAGUUGUAGU